Molecule: ribosomal RNA, 293 nt
Filed under: uncultured bacterium
Lineage: Bacteria
Description: partial 16S ribosomal RNA
Rfam family: Bacterial small subunit ribosomal RNA
Source: RNAcentral
GGAUUAGAUACCCUGGUAGUCCACGCUGUAAACGAUGUCGACUAGCCGUUGGAUUCCUUGAGGAUUUAGUGGCGCAGUUAACGCGAUAAGUCGACCGCCUGGGGAGUACGGCCGCAAGGUUAAAACUCAAAUGAAUUGACGGGGGCCCGCACAAGCGGUGGAGCAUGUGGUUUAAUUCGACGCAACGCGAAGAACCUUACCAGGUCUUGACAUCCCCGGAAUCUUUAAGAGAUUAGAGAGUGCCUUCGGGAAUCGGGAGACAGGUGCUGCAUGGCUGUCGUCAGCUCGUGCCG